This 1912-nucleotide long non-coding RNA is filed under the name Bos indicus x Bos taurus (hybrid cattle). Its description in RNAcentral is "lncRNA (ENSBIXG00005018828.1)". The record is from RNAcentral. Lineage: Eukaryota; Metazoa; Chordata; Mammalia; Artiodactyla; Bovidae.
CGAGAGCGGAGCUGAGGCCGGUCAGGCUCCCCGUCACGUCUCCCACACUCCCACACCCCCGCAGCCGGCCUGCUCCUUCCUUCCUUCCUUCCUUCCCGGGCGCGAACGCUAGAAGCCGGGAACGGCUCGGCGAGGCUCCCUCCCCCAGGGCAGACUGAGCGGCCUCUCGGCCGGGGCUCCGCGCGCUCGCGCCCGCCCGGGCGCGGAUCUGGAGCUCCGCCGGCCGGCGUGGAAGCUCACUCGGUCCUUCCUUCCCCAUCCAUCCAGGCUCGCUCGGAAGGAAGGCCCCCCACACCACAUCCACACACACGUCUCUGCUCUGGAGGAGAGCUCCGGAGAAGCCCAGUCUGGCGGCCGCUUUCUCGGCACACACACACGGAGGGAAAACACGCUGGCUGGCUGGCUGGCUGGCUGGCUGGCUGGCUGGCUGGCUGGCGGUGGAGCCGCCUCUCCCCGAGCCAGGGGCAGGCGGGCAGGCGGGCGGGCGGGCGGGCCCUGGGACCCCGAUUCCCCUCCGUGCCGCGCUCGCUGAGUCUGGGCGGCCAAGCACACACACAGCGUGGGAAUGCGGCCCGAGCACGGGGCGCUUCCCUUCCCCCUCGGACAGAGCUCUCUCCUCGCUCGCUCGCUCGCUCGCUCGCUCGCUCGCUCGCUCGCUCGCGGGAGGCCUUGGCGGUUUGUACACACGCCCGGGCGGGUCCGGAGCCUCUGCCGGGAGGCCCCGGCUCUCCUAGGUCCGAGCGGGGAAGGCAGGCGAGAGCGGAGCUGAGGCCGGUCAGGCUCCCCGUCACGUCUCCCACACUCCCACACCCCCGCAGCCGGCCUGCUCCUUCCUUCCUUCCUUCCUUCCCGGGCGCGAACGCUAGAAGCCGGGAACGGCUCGGCGAGGCUCCCUCCCCCAGGGCAGACUGAGCGGCCUCUCGGCCGGGGCUCCGCGCGCUCGCGCCCGCCCCGGGCCGCGGAUCUGGAGCUCCGCCGGCGGCGUGGAAGCUCACCUCGGUCCUUCCUUCCCCAUCCAUCCAGGCUCGCUCGCGAGCAAGCACCCGCCGGCGGGCGGGCGGGCGGGCGGGCGGGAGGCCGGCCGGCCGGCCUGUCUGCCUGCCGGCCGGCCCGCCGGCCUGCCUCCCUCCCUCUCCCUCCCUCCCCUCUCUCCCUCUCCUCCCCCUCUCCCGCGUGCUGGAACUACUGCGCUUCCAGGCAGGCCCGGGCACACAGCAACGCCCGGCGGCGCUUCCGCUCAGGGGCCGGCUGUUCCCCCUGCGCUGGGGCUCCGCUAACGGAGCCCAAACGCACGGAAGGAAGGGCCCCCCCCCCCCCCCACCCCCCACACCACAUCCACACACACGUCUCUGCUCUGGAGGAGAGCUCCGGGGAAGCCCAGUCUGGCGGGCCGCUUUCUCGGCACACACACGGAGGGAAAACACGCUGGCUGGCUGGCUGGCUGGCUGGCUGGCGGUGGAGCCGCCUCUCCCCGACCAGGGGCAGGCAGGCAGGCAGGCAGUCAGGCGGGCCCUGGGACCCCGAUUCCCUCCGUGCCGCGCUCCGCUGAGUCUGGGCGCCAAGCUCACACCAAGCGUGGGAAUGCGGCCCGAGCCCGGGGCGCUUCCCUUCCCCCUCGGAUCAGAGCUCUCCUCUCCUCGCUCGCUCGCUCGCUCGCUCGCUCGCUCGCUCGCGGGAGGCCUUGGCGGUUUGUACACACGCCCGGGCGGGCCCGGAGCCCUCUGCCGGGAGGCCCCGGCUCUCCUAGGUCCGAGGGGGGAAGGCAGGCGAGAGCGGAGCUGAGGCAAGUCACCCCCCCCCCCACCCCCCCCCCCGAAAUCACACCCGCAACGUAGGGUCAUGAUUAGCUCAGGGGAUGAUUAGUUUAGGCCACGAUUCGGUUAGGGCGUGAUGAGUUUAGCGGGUGAUUACA